RNAcentral lists this small RNA (275 nucleotides) under marine eukaryotic metagenome. Its description in RNAcentral is "5' ureB small RNA". It matches the Rfam family "5' ureB small RNA". The record is from RNAcentral.
AAUUUGCUGGGGGCAGAUAAAAUGGAUAUGGGCAUCGACGCCCCCCGCCGUGAGAAUUUGCCCUUCACCGGCAAUCACCUCGGUGCUCGGCCCAACGAUAAUAUCAACGCCGUCCUGCACAUCCGGGUUGCCGCCUUUACCAAUCGCACAAAUGCGACCCUCUUUAAUACCCACAUCGGCUUUGACAAUGCCCCAGUGGUCAAGGAUGAGGGCAUUGGUAAUCAAGGUAUCGACUGUUUCCGCACGCGACCUUUGGCUCUGACCCAUGCCGUCUC